GUGAAGCGGCAAGAGCUCAAAUUUGAAAGCUGGCCCCUUCGGGGUCCGCGCUGUAAUUUGCAGAGGAUGCUUCGGGUGCAGCCCCCGUCUAAGUGCCCUGGAACGGGCCGUCAUAGAGGGUGAGAAUCCCGUCUGGGACGGGGUGUCUGCGUCCGUGUGAAGCUCCUUCGACGAGUCGAGUUGUUUGGGAAUGCAGCUCUAAAUGGGUGGUAAAUUUCAUCUAAAGCUAAAUACUGGCCGGAGACCGAUAGCGCACAAGUAGAGUGAUCGAAAGAUGAAAAGCACUUUGAAAAGAGAGUUAAACAGCACGUGAAAUUGUUGAAAGGGAAGCGUUUGCGACCAGACUCGCCCGCGGGGUUCAGCCGGCACUCGUGCCGGUGUACUUCCCCGUGGGCGGGCCAGCGUCGGUUUGGGCGGNCGGUCAAAGGCCCUCGGAAUGUAUCACCUCUCGGGGUGUCUUAUAGCCGAGGGUGCAAUGCGGCCUGCCCGGACCGAGGAACGCGCUUCGGCUCGGACGCUGGCGUAAUGGUCGUAAAUGACCCGUCUUGAAACACGGACCA
Molecule: ribosomal RNA, 560 nt
Filed under: Rasamsonia emersonii
Lineage: Eukaryota; Fungi; Ascomycota; Eurotiomycetes; Eurotiales; Trichocomaceae
Description: partial large subunit ribosomal RNA
Rfam family: Eukaryotic large subunit ribosomal RNA
Source: RNAcentral